This 207-nucleotide ribosomal RNA is filed under the name uncultured bacterium. RNAcentral's name for it is "partial 16S ribosomal RNA". It matches the Rfam family "Bacterial small subunit ribosomal RNA", at positions 568 to 774 of the family's 1533-position model. The record is from RNAcentral.
CGCGCAGGUGGUUUCUUAAGUCUGAUGUGAAAGCCCACGGCUCAACCGUGGAGGGUCAUUGGAAACUGGGAGACUUAAGUGCAGAAGAGGAUAGUGGAAUUCCAAGUGUAGCGGUGAAAUGCGUAGAGAUUUGGAGGAACACCAGUGGCGAAGGCGACUGUCUGGUCUGUAACUGACACUGAGGCGCGAAAGCGUGGGGAGCAAACA